RNAcentral lists this ribosomal RNA (460 nucleotides) under uncultured bacterium. Its description in RNAcentral is "partial 16S ribosomal RNA". It matches the Rfam family "Bacterial small subunit ribosomal RNA", at positions 338 to 795 of the family's 1533-position model. The record is from RNAcentral.
CCUACGGGGGGCAGCAGUGAGGAAUAUUGGUCAAUGGGCGGAAGCCUGAACCAGCCAAGUCGCGUGAGGGAAUAAGGCCCUACGGGUCGUAAACCUCUUUUGCCGGGGAGCAAGGGCGGGGACGUGUCCCGUCCCGGAGAGUACCCGGAGAAAAAGCAUCGGCUAAUUCCGUGCCAGCAGCCGCGGUAAUACGGAGGAUGCGAGCGUUCUCCGGAUUUAUUGGGUUUAAAGGGUGCGUAGUCGGGCUUUUAAGUCAGCGGUAAAAAUUCGGGGCCCAACCCCGUCCGGCCGUUGAAACUGGGGGCCUUGAGUGGGCGAGAAGAAGGCGGAAUGCGUGGUGUAGCGGUGAAAUGCAUAGAUAUCACGCAGAACCCCGAUUGCGAAGGCAGCCUUCCGGCGCCCUACUGACGCUGAGGCACGAAAGUGCGGGGAUCGAACAGGAUUAGAUACCCCGGUAGUC